RNAcentral lists this long non-coding RNA (475 nucleotides) under Pan troglodytes (chimpanzee). RNAcentral describes it as "long non-coding RNA NONPTRT001440". Lineage: Eukaryota; Metazoa; Chordata; Mammalia; Primates; Hominidae. The record is from RNAcentral.
UUUCCUGUCCCUUUUGGAGCCCCAAAGCAGUGAAAUGGAGCAGAACUAGUUAGCCAUCCGUGCAGUUGCUUUGGGAGACGGCCAUGGUACCAGAGUGAAACGUCAGAGCCAGACCAGCAUGAGAAGAAUGUCUACUCAAGGGAUGGCAGCAGAGUGUGGGUUUCAGAGUCUGAGAUGGGUGACGAGGUCAACCCAAAGAGGGAGGCCCAGCACAUAGUGUCAGAAACCAAGCAGGGUGGAGAGGGUGUCCCUGCAGGGUUCCUGGUGGUGGCAGUAGCAGCAACUCAAGAUUGGCUACACACAAGGAGACUGAUCAAAUAAUAUAUUGAGAAUAACAAGAAUCAGAAGCUUCACCAUGGAUGAGAAAGGAAUUACAAAUAUAAAAAAGCAGAAAACCAGAAGUAACUCUAUUAUAUCAGCUUGGAACUAGAGAUACCAGUAUGAAUUCAUGGUUCUCAAAAUAUAUAGAUAUAAA